RNAcentral lists this ribosomal RNA (253 nucleotides) under uncultured bacterium. RNAcentral's name for it is "partial 16S ribosomal RNA". It matches the Rfam family "Bacterial small subunit ribosomal RNA", at positions 524 to 776 of the family's 1533-position model. The record is from RNAcentral.
GACGAACCGAGCGACCGUUGUUCGGAAUCACUGGGCUUAAAGGGCGCGUAGGCGGGCCCGCCAGUCUGUGGUGAAAUCCUCCGGCUCAACCGGAGAACUGCCUCGGAUACUGCGGGUCUCGAGGGUGAUAGGGGUAUGCGGAACUAUCGGUGGAGCGGUGAAAUGCGUUGAUAUCGAUAGGAACUCCGGUGGCGAAGGCGGCAUACUGGAUCACUUCUGACGCUGAGGCGCGAAAGCCAGGGGAGCAAACGGG